Molecule: ribosomal RNA, 492 nt
Filed under: uncultured bacterium
Lineage: Bacteria
Description: partial 16S ribosomal RNA
Rfam family: Bacterial small subunit ribosomal RNA
Source: RNAcentral
AGUGAACGCUGGUGGUAGGCCUAACACAUGCAAAUCGAACGGCAGCACAGUAAGAGCUUGCUCUUACGGGUGGCGAGUGGCGGACGGGUGAGGAAUACAUCGGAAUCUACUUUUUCGUGGGGGAUAACGUAGGGAAACUUACGCUAAUACCGCAUACGACCUACGGGUGAAAGCAGGGGAUCUUCGGACCUUGCGCGAUUGAAUGAGCCGAUGUCGGAUUAGCUAGUUGGCGGGGUAAAGGCCCACCAAGGCGACGAUCCGUAGCUGGUCUGAGAGGAUGAUCAGCCACACUGGAACUGAGACACGGUCCAGACUCCUACGGGAGGCAGCAGUGGGGAAUAUUGGACAAUGGGCGCAAGCCUGAUCCAGCCAUACCGCGUGGGUGAAGAAGGCCUUCGGGUUGUAAAGCCCUUUUGUUGGGAAAGAAAAGCAGCAGGUUAAUACCCCGCUGUUCUGACGGUACCCAAAGAAUAAGCACCGGCUAACUUCGUG